Molecule: unclassified non-coding RNA, 444 nt
Filed under: uncultured Bordetella sp.
Lineage: Bacteria; Pseudomonadati; Pseudomonadota; Betaproteobacteria; Burkholderiales; Alcaligenaceae
Description: partial 16S-23S ribosomal RNA intergenic spacer
Rfam family: Bacterial small subunit ribosomal RNA
Source: RNAcentral
CACGGGACGCAGCAGUGGGGGAAUUUUGGAUAAUGGGAAACCUCGAUCCAGCCAUCCUGGUGUGCGAUGAAGGCUCUCGCUGUAAAGCACUUUUGGUAGGAAAGAAAACGCAGCAUCGAUAAUACCGCGCAACUGACGGUACCCGCAGAAUAAGCACCGGCUAACCACGUGCCAGCAGCCGCGGUAAUACGUAGGGUGCAAGCGUUAAUCGGAACACGGGCGUAAAGGCAGGCGGUUUCGGAAAGAAAGAUGUGAAAUCCCAGAGCUUAACUUUGGAACUGCAUUUUUAACUACCGAGCUAGAGUGUGUCAGAGGGAGGUGGAAUCGCGUAAAGAAUGCGUAGAUAUGCGGAGGAACACCGAUGGCGAAGGCAGCCUCCUGGGAUAACACUGACGCUCAUGCACGAAAGCGUGGGGAGCAAAUAGGAUUAGAUACCCGCGUAGU